UUAGCAGAGAGUAGACAAAGCCUUUAUCAAGCCUAGAGCACCAGCCUCCGCCUCAUCACGAACCCGCUUGCUCUUUUCGAUGGUCUUUUGCUUCUCCUCCAUUUGCUCAGCCAACUCUCUAUCUUCCUUAAUAGCCAAGUGAGACUCAAGGCAUUGGUCCCAUUCUCUUUUCCGAUCAACAGGCAACACCUCUUCCCACGCCGAUUCAUGCUCAAGCUUUUUCAGCACCUCUCGGAUCUCAGAAACCCGACUUUUCAGACCACUAACACGCUCUAUGGCUUUCCAAUAAUCGACUUUGGAUCUAGCCACCGCUUGAAUAGACGAAACGGCGUCAGAUUCUUCGUUUUGGUGGGUUCGGAGCUUGGACUCAACAGAGGAGAUUCGAGUGCGGCGAGAGAGGACAGCCCUAAUGGCGUCGUAGAACUUAGUGUCUUCGCGUAGUGUUCACGCGUCGUCAGAGCAAGUUGGUUGAGAUUGCUAUUGGCGGAGAAAUUGUUUGGAAACUUCCGGAGUAGUGAGAAUGGGCCCGUACUUCUCCGGACAUGACACCGGUGGUGGUCCCCACUGCCACUGUAACAACAACGUCGCCGUUGUUGUUGUUGUUGUUGUUACUGUUAGUCUCCUCUUCGUCUUCCACUUCCUCUUCUUGUUUCUGUUUCUGUUUCUUUCUCUUGUACAGAUUUAAUUUUGUUCUUGUACGAGAGGGAGGGUAUUUGGUUUUGGUUUUGGUUUUGGUUUUGAUAUUGGUAUUGAGUUUAACUCUCACUGCUUGUGGGAGUGGUGGCGGCUUAUACAGACUCUAACCCGCUUUCAGACAACCCAUUGCUCCGCCACCGAAAGAGUUUGUGUUUUUUCAUUACUGGGGACUGAGGCUUGCCGCUCUUGAUGGGAACACAAGGCGCAGUUAAUUGGCAGCGUCUACCAAAGACUAAUAUUUCAGCUUCUAUAGGAGAAAGAAAAUUUGCAAGUAUCAUGGUCAAUGGUGUUUUGUUGGAUGGAAUUGAGUGAUUGGCUGUCAUACAGGGCAAAAGGAGAUGAUACUUUUAGUCUGUGCACCACGGUGUGCAAAUGGACAUAUCUUGGUCAUGGAUAUAUGCAGAAAGUCAAUGAAAAAGAUUCCUGAGAUAUGGAAGCUUGUGGAUGGGAUGAUGACUUCUGGGAGUAGAUUGGAUUAGGUGAUCUUUCAGAUGGGCAUCAUGCUAAGAUAGUUUGUUACUUGGUAAUGAAUAAUGUCAACAGGACUGUGUAGCUUUUCCUGACCAUCUUUUGGGUUCUGGUCUUACUCCAGCUGCCGUGAAGGCAAGAAAUUUUGUACUGAAGAUUUCACAUUGAUUUACAGUGGCAUGCCUUGAGGUCCAUUAGCAAAAAACAUAUUUAUUUAGUUGCAAGAAAAUAUGAGUCACACUAUUUUCCUGGCCUUUGGUGGGUGAUUUAACUUGAUACUAGUAUUGACACCUAUUUGUAGCUAAUUUCUUAUGUAUUCAUGUGAUUUAAAUUUCCUGGAACUGGGACUUGUAGCAGGAAUUCAUUUUGAAACUUCACAUAUUGAUGCUCAUGCUGUUGGCGGUGGGUGUAAUGGAAAGUGUGCCACAUUUGGAUUCUGAAGCUAAAGAGUGUGAUAUGGAAGCUAUAUGCCACCAUAUGGUGUUAGUCUGUGGAACUUCUACCUGCCAUAUGGCCAUAUCAAGGGGCAAGUUAUUCGUUCCAGGGGUCAGGGGACCGUUCUGGUCUGGUUCACUUCUGGAACUUAUGUUCAGUAUUUAUCUCAUGGAAUUUGGAUCAUAACGUGUUGUUUAAAAUUUGACAGGCUGAAGAAUCAUUGUUGAGGCGACUAAUCUUUUACAUGUAUUUUGCAUUACUUAAAAAGUAAUUAAGAGUGCGUUUGGAUUGGGCGUUUUCUGCCCAAUCCUGCGUUUGCGUUU
This is a long non-coding RNA of Quercus lobata, 1922 nucleotides long. RefSeq lists it as uncharacterized. The record is from RefSeq and is a predicted model, not a curated record. Lineage: Eukaryota; Viridiplantae; Streptophyta; Magnoliopsida; Fagales; Fagaceae. The transcript is spliced from 5 exons.